Molecule: long non-coding RNA, 3276 nt
Filed under: Homo sapiens (human)
Lineage: Eukaryota; Metazoa; Chordata; Mammalia; Primates; Hominidae
Description: HSALNT0190860
Source: RNAcentral
UUUUUACCAUCUUCUGUCUUUUCCAGAUGUUUCAUUUGAGCUGCUCUGCUCCCCACUGGUGGCUGAGCCAGGCCUGACCAGGGCAGGAAGGGUGAUCAGUAGCCUCACACACAGCAGCUGGUAGAGUCUGAAGGUCACGCUUGGCCUUCCACCAAGUGUCCAAUGUGCUGGGGAUUAGCCUCUGAAUCACAGCCUUUCCCUUCUCCUGCCAUGUUGGCCCAGCCAUACAAGAGGCUCUCUCUGCCCAGCACACAAGUCCCUUGCUGUGACUGGCAUUCUGCUGUGAAAACCAGAUUACUUAUUAGACUUUAUCUUCAGUGAACCUUUGACUAACUUCUGCAUGGGACUGGAAUAUGAUCUGCAUACCUUUCAUUACUGGCCAAGAUUUUCAUUGUGCAUAUUGGAAAGCAUACAGACUUUGGUGUCAGAUACUCAGAGGAACAAAGUCCAGCCUUAACAAUUACUAGCUGUGUCACCUAAGACAAAUUACUCAACUUUGCUGGACUUUGCCCUUCUCAUCUAUGAAAGGGCGUAUUAAGGAAUGGCUCACAUGAAGGAUAUCAUCUAUAUGGGUUUGUAUUACUCCUCCCUUGUUUUUCUGAGGAGGUCCCAUGGAGUAGAUAUUGGUUACAGUGUUUUCAGUUGCAGGAAAUGGUGACUCAAUUCAAAGCAAUUUAAACAGAUAGGAUAUUUCUUGGCUCAUACAAAACAAAAUCCAGAGGUAGGACAGCCACAAAUCUUGUUGAUCCUCCUGCUUAAUUAUGUCAUCAAUAAACAAUGGUCCCUCUGUCUCUCCACACAGCAAUCCACAAAGAAGACUUCAUCCUAAGGUAAAUGCUCUACUUAGUAGUAUGGUUGCUUUGAGUAACAAUUGGUGUCAUGUGCUUCUCUGUUCACUUCCAGAGGGAAAAUCAACAUUUCUCACUGAUCUUUGGAGCCCAAGUUCUUCCUGUUCAUUUCCUUGGACCAAUUUAAGUCAUAUGCUCUUCUUGAAUCAAUAAUUUUAGUAGGGAAAGGCUAGAUGCUGACUGGUCUAAGUUCCUGAACCACCACUGGUUAAUGAAUCACCAUGAUUGACUAAGACCAGUAAAAACCAUUCCUAACUGUAUUGCAGGUAUCUAAUGUGGAAGGGGUGGGGUGAAGGUUGAAGAAUCAGACUGUACAGGGUGAAACGCUUGAGCUUUGGUUUAUAUCCCUACCUGGCAAGUACCAAUGGGGUUACAAUUUCUGAACUGCAAUUUAUCCAUCUAGAAAUGGGGGAUAAAAAUAGUACCUCUCUCACUGGCUAGCUUCACAAGAUUUGUGACGCCCUUAGCCCUGAGCUUAGCAAAUUGUUUACAAAUUCUAGGUGUUAUUAUUUCUUUAUAUGCCUAGAAAUGUGGUGCCACUUGCUAUAUUUGUUUGUUACUUGAUUCCUGGAUUCCUACCACGGACUCCUCUGCACCAGGGUUGCUGAAUUCCAUCUGCACAUUUCAUGCCCUCUCUACAUUGUACCUCUGACAAUUCAGUUGCUCAUGAAGGGUUGACUGGAUUAGUCAUUAGUCCCUUCUCUCUUUCAGUACUGCCCCAUCAAAUCUAGACUUAAAACUCUUAAGUCCUCCCCAGUGACACAGGGUAUUGAGGUCCCAGCUUGCUUUGUGCCAGGGUGUGAUGGUUGGUUUUGGGUAUCAACUUGACCAGAUUAAGGGACACCCAGAUAGCUGGCAAAACAUUAUUUAUUCUUACUACUUCAGUAGGCACUGAACUUGUUCCUCAAAGCCAGGUGACUUGGAGUUUGGUUAAAUGAUUGGGCUGCCCGAGGUGUGAGGACGUUUGCAGAGGAGACUGGCAUGUAAGUCAGUGGGCUGAGUGGAGAAUAUCCACCUUCAAUGUGAGUAGGCACUCUCCAGUUGGCUGAGGGCCUGUUUUUAAAUUCCCAUGGGUUGUACCACUUCUUAAAUAGGGUCUUCCUCUUUUGCUGUGUCACUGUUACCUUAACCUACUGGUGUUACUUUCUCCGCUUUAUACUGACUUGUGUGCAGCUGCCCCCAGGAAGCAUGAUGGUCACCUAGAGUCCAGUGUUGUUUAAAAGAAUCACAGCUGCGUACUUUGAUGUAGACAAAAAAGAGAGAGUUGAGUACAGUUAGGGCAGCUGUGUGCAUGCAGUGCGUGUGCACAUAUGGGAGACACACUUCUCAAAAGGAGACUGUAGACAACACAGCCCUCUUGUGAUGAGAACAGCAUGGCCCUUUUGCUCGGCUUUCUUUGAGGCUGUGCUGUAAGGGUGCUUCUCUUUCCAACCCUGUUGGAAUCUAUAAACUUUCUGGGACCUUGGUCCUUGGCAUGUCUGCCUGGGGGUUUUUGCUUAGAGGAUACUGCUGCUUAUCUUGCUCACUCCUGAUGGCUCACAGUCUCUUUCUGCUUACUUUUGCAUCAGGGCUGAGCUUCUGUGACUCCUUCGGCCCUCCAGCCACUGCGGAAGUUAUAAGCCCUCAAGAGACAGCAGAAAGAUUAAAGGGAUGAGCCUCUGAAAUUGUAUGAAUCUGGGGCUUUGGGGAGCCGAGCUUGAUUUACAUUGGAGCUUUGCUGGAAUCAUUUCCCAUGGACAUAUUCAGGAGGCUGUUGGAGGCUUCCACUGCCCUCCUCCUUUUCAAGGUAGCUAUUUCAGAAAGUUAAUUAACCUGGGAUAGUUCCCUCCUUUGGAGCUUGAGAGAGACCCAGAAUUUGUCUUUUUAAAAUGACCCAUAUCCUGGAAAAUGGGGAAGACAAAUCCUCAUCUUCAUCCUCUUUUAUCUUAGUAGGCUCAUUUUUUUCUUCAACUCACGAUAAUAAUUUAACUCCCCUCUUUUAGAUUUAUUAACGUACAUAUUUAUUAGUUGCUUGUUUUGUACAAAUUGCUAUGUUAGGGACUCUGAAGAAUAUAAAGAAGUAGAAAACUCGGUCUUUGACCUCAAGGAAUUUGCAAUCUUAAUGUGAUUAUAAAACUUGAAAUGAUAACUGACACAUUUUAGACUAUGUUAAGUCUCAGAUGACUGGAAUAGGUGACAAAUGCCGUAAGAAUUUCAGCACAUAUUUCCCUCUCUCUCAUCUUUGUCUUUAGAGUUAAGCAGUGUGAGUCUGAAUCUUGAGUCACACUCCUGUGUGACCUUGGACAAGUCACUUGUCCUUUCUAAGCCUCAGUUUUUCAUCUGCAAAAGGGGAAGAAAUAAUGCGAGCCUCUCAGGAGUUGACUGAAUUAAAUAAUGUAUAAAAAGCAUUUAACACCUUCCCUUGCACAUACGAGUGCUCAAUAAAAAC